GCUUGGAAACUGGGAUCGUGGAUUCGAAUCCCACUCAGGGCUGGAUAUGCUGACUUAGAACUGCGUAUUACAGCUACAGAUAACAGUGACUAUAUUCCUGUCAACACAACACUAUUUCCAACAGGUGGAGUUGCUGCCUACAACAUGCUUCAGCAUAUGUGUGUCACCUUCAAGUCUGGUACAGAAAACUGGAUUACCCAGUAGGAGAAACUGUGAAACCACCAAAACCACAUCCUACUCUGUACAAACAGCAGUGACAACAAGAACUCUGCCCAAGCCAUCCCAGGAAGAACAGCAGAAUAAGGAAACAUGGAGUGGACGGAUAGUGUGCUUCAGUGCCACAUAUUCUUAUAAAACAUUCACUAGUAACCACUGAACAAAAUAACCACAAUGUUAAAAAAAGAGAA
Molecule: long non-coding RNA, 407 nt
Organism: Cryptotermes secundus
Lineage: Eukaryota; Metazoa; Arthropoda; Insecta; Blattodea; Kalotermitidae
Exons: 2
Source: RefSeq, a predicted model, not a curated record